This is a long non-coding RNA of Dicentrarchus labrax (European seabass), 243 nucleotides long. RefSeq lists it as uncharacterized. Lineage: Eukaryota; Metazoa; Chordata; Actinopteri; Moronidae. The transcript is spliced from 3 exons. The record is from RefSeq and is a predicted model, not a curated record.
GGUGAUGAUUGUAUCUAUGAAUCAAUCAAAUGCCCAGAAGACACUGAUAAAGUCUAAUUCAUGGAUGCUUCGAUUGAACAUAACAACAUUUGAAAACAAAGGAAGCAACAUGAACCAGAUGAGAGCUCUGUUUACUCUGAUGUCAAGAUAGGAACUACUGUCAUGCUCAGAGUUUGUAUUGAAAUCAUCACACAGGAGGUCAUUAUGGGUCAGCAUGCAGUUCAAUUGAUGUCACCUUGGGUA